UACGGAGGGUGCAAGCGUUAUCCGGAUUCACUGGGUUUAAAGGGUGCGUAGGCGGGCAGGUAAGUCCGUGGUGAAAUCCCCGAGCUUAACUCGGGAACUGCCAUGGAUACUAAUUGUCUUGAAUAUUGUGGAGGUAAGCGGAAUAUGUCAUGUAGCGGUGAAAUGCUUAGAUAUGACAUAGAACACCAAUUGCGAAGGCAGCUUACUACACAGUUAUUGACGCUGAGGCACGAAAGCGUGGGGAUCAAACAGG
Molecule: ribosomal RNA, 253 nt
Filed under: uncultured bacterium
Lineage: Bacteria
Description: partial 16S ribosomal RNA
Rfam family: Bacterial small subunit ribosomal RNA
Source: RNAcentral